UUGCGCGCGAGUUGGGAGAGAAAUAAUUUUGCGCGAGUUGUGCGGGAGUUUUUCACAACGUUGGCCGCGCGAGUCAGCCGAAGAGAGAAAUCGGCGCAGAGAGUAAAUUAUGAGUGUUGGCUCUCGAGGUACAUGCGAGUCGCGCUGUGUGUAAGUUGGCGCAGAGAGGAAGGUGCGAGUAGGGUAUGAGAUAGGCUGGUAUGGUUCUCGAGUUGGGAGAGAAACAAUUCAGUGCGAGUUGUGCGGGAGUCGGGCGCACACGCUUUCUUCCUCACGGACGGACGACUCAUGCAAAAGAGAGUAAACGGCGCACAGAGAGAGUUAAUUAUGAUUGUUGCCGCUCGAGAUGCAUACGAGUCGCACUGUGUGCAAGUUGGCGCACCGGGGAGAGAGGAAGCCGCGAGAUAGGCUGGUAUGGGUCUCGAGUUGGGAGAGAAAUAAUUCAGUGCGAGUUGUGCGGGAGUUGGGCACGCACGUUUUUUCCUCACGGAUGGUCAACUCAUGCAAAGAGAGUAAACAGCGCACAGAGAGAGAGAGAGAGAGAGAGUUACUUAUGAGUGCUGCGCGCGAGAUGUGUGCGAUUCGGUCGCGAGUCGGAAUGAGAGACACGCAGAGAGAAUUUGCGCGAGCCGAGCACUUCACGAGGAUGUGAUUUUUAAUUGUAGCGGUGUAGAACGGAGAGAAAAUAUUUAUCGCAGUAGUGGCGUGACACGCAGUACAUGCAUUUAUAUUUUGUAGCGGGGCGCAUCGGCGCGCUCGAGAAAGAAUUCUUCAGUAAUAUUUCUGCUGGGAUGAAUAAAAAGCAGCACGAGAGAAAAGGUGACCGAAGCCCGAGCAUGUGUGUGGCGGGCAAGUGGCCGCAGAUGUAUCAGCGCGUUAGCUCGGUUGAGGAAAAAACUGCCUUGUGGACACAUAACCCUGUGUGUUCAAUGUGUCGAUAUUGCGUGUGGCGUAUGUGAAAAAACAAUUGUUGGCCAAAUAAAAAUUGCAGGUUCACUCUGAUACAAAUAUUUGUUUUCAAUUAGUGACCUUUGAUCGUAAAGAGGGUGGAGCUUAAAUUAUUGUGGUAGGGCAGGGUCGUGCUUUUAAAAGCCCGUGUCUCAUGUUAAAUCGUCACUCCUGUCACUGUAUCCCGAUGGAGGACACACGAGAGCCACAUACAACGGAGGAGGAAGGCAGGCAGCAAUGUUGCAGCCACGAUCCAGAUAAUGCGAUGGUCAGAGAUGCUGAACUUUUCUGCGCGUUGAUAUACGGACUCAGAGGCGGCAACCCCGGCACAGCACCGCCUGCACAAUAUGUAUUGAGAAGAUCCAGUUUGUAAAUUUUGAAGAACCGCGUGAAUGUUACCACAUAGCCUCUCUCCGCAAGGCAUUUCAAUCGCAGAUAUGUAGUACGAUUUUAUUAUAUCAUUAAUCGCACAAAUAUUUCUUCAUCUGUUCAUAGAUUUCCGAGAGAAACUGCCCAAUGCAGAGCAAGUCAUUAUUCGUUACCGCCAGGCGUUGAAUUUUCUCCUGGUGCACAUUUCUUCAAAAGAUGUUAAAUAUUAAAGCAAAUACUCUGUUUUGUAAGUACGUUCUUCAUAAUGUGAAAUUUACUGUGCGUUGUCUUUAUCGAACAAUAAAAAAGAUCAAAGUGAAUACUUU
Cloeon dipterum is the source of this 1643-nucleotide long non-coding RNA. RefSeq lists it as uncharacterized. NCBI's taxonomy places the organism in Eukaryota, Metazoa, Arthropoda, Insecta, Ephemeroptera, Baetidae. The transcript is spliced from 3 exons. The record is from RefSeq and is a predicted model, not a curated record.